GAGAGAGAGAGAGAGAGAGAGAGAGGGGGCACUUUGUUGCCUUUUUCAUGAUGCACGCAUCCAUGGCAGAACAGACAGCGGUACAGAGUACUGCUGCGACGCAGGGGUAGAAGAGCCGAGCUGAACAAAGAUCAACCUCAACAACCAUACCAACAAGAACAACAAGGUCCUCAAACAGAGGAAAAAUAAAUAAAUAAAAAAAGGAGAAAGAAAGGGGCAAAGCUCAGGGAGAGAGAGAUGGAGCUGCAAUGGAGGUGGAGAGAUGGGAAGUAGAUAUCAUGGAGCUCAAGAAGAAGAGGAAGAACAGGGUCAAGGGGUCAAGAACAGUCUGCAUAGCUAUUUUGUUGAAAUAGGUCCCUUGUUUCUUUGAGAAUAAGAAGAGGGAUUCAUGGCAUGCAGGGAGCGAUGGUGGGUUUAAAAUCUCGGAUAAAAGAACAAGAAAGUGCCUUUCUUUUCUAAAUCUGAGCAACCCACUUGAGCUAACCCAUUUCUUCACUUCACUUCACUUGCACAAAUCUUGGCCUUUUCCAUUUGAUCUCGUCAAAAAAGCGCCGCUUGCCUUCUCGGUUUCUCUGUAUACAUGAGUGGGAUGCCCUUUCAUUUGCAGGGGAAGGGGGGAUUAGAUAUUGAUAUUGCUGGUUUUGCUUCUAUUUGUUCUCAACAAGAAACUUGGAAACAGAAGCUAAAACAGCACGAAGUUAAUAGCUUUGCAAGCACAGAGCCCACCUCAGUUCUUCAUAUGAGA
RNAcentral lists this unclassified non-coding RNA (745 nucleotides) under Hevea brasiliensis (rubber tree). The record is from RNAcentral. Lineage: Eukaryota; Viridiplantae; Streptophyta; Magnoliopsida; Malpighiales; Euphorbiaceae.